Trifolium pratense (red clover) is the source of this 747-nucleotide long non-coding RNA. RefSeq lists it as uncharacterized. The transcript is spliced from 3 exons. The record is from RefSeq and is a predicted model, not a curated record. NCBI's taxonomy places the organism in Eukaryota, Viridiplantae, Streptophyta, Magnoliopsida, Fabales, Fabaceae.
AGAUUUUCUGCUGUAAGGAAAGUUGUAGUCGCGCAACUGUUCGACUUCAGCCAUCCGAUGAAGAUUGGAUGGCUCGGCUUUUUAAAUUCCAACCAAUCAACUUUAAAACAUAAUUUUGGAAUACAAUCUGUUUAAUCUUUAUUCGAUUUCCAUUUAUGUGUAAAAUGGCAUGCCUUGGUGGUAGUUAUGUUUAUGAUGAAAAUGUGGACUGCAGGCCAACCUUGGGCGAAUGUGAAAGCUAGAGUGAGGAAGGGUUAUCCAUCAGUGCAAUACGCAUCAUGGAUGUUCUGGCCUGUUGUGGGGGUGAUAAAUUACAAAUUCAUGCCUCUUCAUUUCCGUGUUGUUUUCCACAGCUUAGUAGCAUUUUGCUGGGGAAUAUUCUUGAACCUUCGAGCACGGUCUGUGGCAUUGAUUAAACCCUGAAGAAAAUGAGAUUCUGAUUUAUAGCCUUCAAAUUAAGUAGAUCCUCCUGCUUAUUACUCCUUUAGAAGUUUGUUUUGUCCUUAUUUUCAAUGUGUGUGUGUGUGUGUAUGAAUUGUCGACGAAUAUUUGAGAUAAAGUAGUAAUUAAGCAAGAUAGGUUUCAUUGUUUAUGGCAACUUUGUAUAUUAGAGAAUACAUUUUUAGAAAGUACUUUUUCUUCCUUCAAGACCAUUGCCAGUUAUAUGGUCAUAGUUUAUGUACUAUGGUAAUUUUCUGAGUAAUGUAAUAAUUUCUCAAACUUUGGAUGUUUGAGCUUAUUUCUUCA